UGGGGGUUAUUGCACAAUGGGCGAAAGCCUGAUGCAGCGACGCCGCGUGGGGGAUGAAGGCUUUCGGGUUGUAAACUUCUUUUGCUCUGAACAAGGCAUGCUAAUGGGUGUGUUGAGUGUAGGGGUUGAUUAGCGCCGGCUAACUACGUGCCAGCAGCCGCGGUAAUACGUAGGGCGCGAGCGUUGUCCGGAAUUAUUGGGCGUAAAGGGCUUGUAGGUGGCUGGUUGCGUCUGUCGUGAAAGCUCAUGGCUUAACUGUGGGUUUGCGGUGGGUACGGGCUGGCUUGGGGGGAGUAGGAGAGGCUGGAAUUCCUGGUGUAGCGGUGGAAUGCGCAGAUAUCAGGAGGAAUAACGGGGGCGGAGGCGGGUCUCUGGGCUGUUACUGACACUGAGGAGCGAAAGCAUGGGGGGCGAACAAG
This 419-nucleotide ribosomal RNA is filed under the name bacterium. RNAcentral describes it as "partial 16S ribosomal RNA". It matches the Rfam family "Bacterial small subunit ribosomal RNA", at positions 355 to 776 of the family's 1533-position model. The record is from RNAcentral.